GAUGAACGCUAGCUACAGGCUUAACACAUGCAAGUCGAGGGGAAACGAUAGAGAAAGCUUGCUUUUUCUAGGCGUCGACCGGCGCACGGGUGAGUAACGCGUAUCCAACCUGCCCAUCACUUGGGGAUAACCUUGCGAAAGUAAGACUAAUACCCAAUGAUAUCUCUAGAAGACAUCUGAAGGAGAUUAAAGAUUUGUCGGUGAUGGAUGGGGAUGCGUCUGAUUAGCUUGUUGGCGGGGUAACGGCCCACCAAGGCGACGAUCAGUAGGGGUUCUGAGAGGAAGGUCCCCCACAUUGGAACUGAGACACGGUCCAAACUCCUACGGGAGGCAGCAGUGAGGAAUAUUGGUCAAUGGGCGAGAGCCUGAACCAGCCAAGUAGCGUGCAGGAUGACGGCCCUAUGGGUUGUAAACUGCUUUUAUAAGGGAAUAAAGUGAGUCUCGUGAGACUUUUUGCAUGUACCUUAUGAAUAAGGACCGGCUAAUUCCGUGCCAGCAGCCGCGGUAAUACGGAAGGUCCGGGCGUUAUCCGGAUUUAUUGGAUUUAAAGGGAGCGUAGGCCGGAGAUUAAGCGUGUUGUGAAAUGUAGAUGCUCAACAUCUGCACUGCAGCGCGAACUGGUUUCCUUGAGUACGCACAAAGUGGGCGGAAUUCGUGGUGUAGCGGUGAAAUGCUUAGAUAUCACGAAGAACUCCGAUUGCGAAGGCAGCUCACUGGAGCGCAACUGACGCUGAAGCUCGAAAGUGCGGGUAUCGAACAGGAUUAGAUACCCUGGUAGUCCGCACGGUAAACGAUGGAUGCCCGCUGUUGGUCUGAAUAGGUCAGCGGCCAAGCGAAAGCAUUAAGCAUCCCACCUGGGGAGUACGCCGGCAACGGUGAAACUCAAAGGAAUUGACGGAAG
RNAcentral lists this ribosomal RNA (901 nucleotides) under uncultured bacterium. Its description in RNAcentral is "bacterial SSU rRNA". It matches the Rfam family "Bacterial small subunit ribosomal RNA", at positions 28 to 919 of the family's 1533-position model. The record is from RNAcentral.